This 627-nucleotide ribosomal RNA is filed under the name uncultured Chlorophyta. Its description in RNAcentral is "eukaryotic LSU rRNA". The stretch from base 217 to 370 matches the Rfam family "5.8S ribosomal RNA". Lineage: Eukaryota; Viridiplantae; Chlorophyta. The record is from RNAcentral.
GUACUUUAACGUAGNCUUCGAUUGCCCUACGGGGACGAUCGGCGCUGCUGGUCUAGCGGUCCACAGUAUGGGUCAUACCGACUGUCCAAUGGCGGGUCGGCUGGCUUGCCGGUCGAUUAGGCGGGGUUUUCCCCACUACUUCACUUUUCACCCAAACCUUAAACUCACAAACUGAAGCAAAUUGCAACCGGCUUUGCCGACUGCUAUUAACUGACAAACUCUCAACAACGGAUAUCUUGGCUCCCGGAACGAUGAAGAACGCAGCGAAAUGCGAUACGUAGUGUGAAUUGCAGAAUUCCGUGAACCAUCGAAUCUUUGAACGCAAAUUGCGCUCGAGGCUUCGGCCAAGAGCAUGUCUGUCUCAGCGUCGGCUUAACCCCCCUCACUCCUCUCUCCUUUGUCAACAACAAAGGUCCGGGGUAGUGGAUCUGGCCGUCCCGGUGCACAGCCGGGUCGACCGAAGCACAGAGGCUUGUGCUUGAACCCCUCUAAGGGCGACAGCUUGGUAGGUGGCUUUUGCUACAUGCCGCUGAAGCCUGGGUGUUCAAGCCGAAUGGCCGGCAGGAAACCACUCAAACAUUUCGACCUGAGAUCAGGCAAGAACACCCGCUGAACUUAAGCAUAUCA